AGCGGAAACGAGUUAUCUGAACCUUCGGGGAACGAUAACGGCGUCGAGCGGCGGACGGGUGAGUAAUGCCUAGGAAAUUGCCCUGAUGUGGGGGAUAACCAUUGGAAACGAUGGCUAAUACCGCAUAAUGCCUACGGGCCAAAGAGGGGGACCUUCGGGCCUCUCGCGUCAGGAUAUGCCUAGGUGGGAUUAGCUAGUUGGUGAGGUAAGGGCUCACCAAGGCGACGAUCCCUAGCUGGUCUGAGAGGAUGAUCAGCCACACUGGAACUGAGACACGGUCCAGACUCCUACGGGAGGCAGCAGUGGGGAAUAUUGCACAAUGGGCGCAAGCCUGAUGCAGCCAUGCCGCGUGUGUGAAGAAGGCCUUCGGGUUGUAAAGCACUUUCAGUCGUGAGGAAGGUAGUGUAGUUAAUAGCUGCAUUAUUUGACGUUAGCGACAGAAGAAGCACCGGCUAACUCCGUGCCAGCAGCCGCGGUAAUACGGAGGGUGCGAGCGUUAAUCGGAAUUACUGGGCGUAAAGCGCAUGCAGGUGGUUUGUUAAGUCAGAUGUGAAAGCCCGGGGCUCAACCUCGGAAUUGCAUUUGAAACUGGCAGACUAGAGUACUGUAGAGGGGGGUAGAAUUUCAGGUGUAGCGGUGAAAUGCGUAGAGAUCUGAAGGAAUACCGGUGGCGAAGGCGGCCCCCUGGACAGAUACUGACACUCAGAUGCGAAAGCGUGGGGAGCAAACAGGAUUAGAUACCCUGGUAGUCCACGCCGUAAACGAUGUCUACUUGGAGGUUGUGGCCUUGAGCCGUGGCUUUCGGAGCUAACGCGUUAAGUAGACCGCCUGGGGAGUACGGUCGCAAGAUUAAAACUCAAAUGAAUUGACGGGGGCCCGCACAAGCGGUGGAGCAUGUGGUUUAAUUCGAUGCAACGCGAAGAACCUUACCUACUCUUGACAUCCAGAGAACUUUC
Molecule: ribosomal RNA, 956 nt
Filed under: Vibrio campbellii
Lineage: Bacteria; Pseudomonadati; Pseudomonadota; Gammaproteobacteria; Vibrionales; Vibrionaceae
Description: bacterial SSU rRNA
Rfam family: Bacterial small subunit ribosomal RNA
Source: RNAcentral